UGGGGAAUAUUGCGCAAUGGGGGAAACCCUGACGCAGCAACGCCGCGUGAAGGAAGAAGGUUUUCGGAUUGUAAACUUCUUUUGUAAGGGACGAAAAAUGACGGUACCUUAAGAAUAAGCUCCGGCUAACUACGUGCCAGCAGCCGCGGUAAUACGAAGGGGGCAAGCGUUGUUCGGAAUUACUGGGCGUAAAGCGCACGCAGGCGGCGUGACGCGUCAGAAGUGAAAUCCCCGGGCUCAACCUGGGAACUGCUUUUGAAACGGUCAUGCUUGAAUCAUGGAGAGGGUAGCGGAAUUCCGAGUGUAGAGGUGAAAUUCGUAGAUAUUCGGAAGAACACCGGUGGCGAAGGCGGCUACCUGGCCAUGUAUUGACGCUCAGGUGCGAAAGCGUGGGGAGCAAACA
This 403-nucleotide ribosomal RNA is filed under the name uncultured bacterium. Its description in RNAcentral is "bacterial SSU rRNA". It matches the Rfam family "Bacterial small subunit ribosomal RNA", at positions 355 to 774 of the family's 1533-position model. The record is from RNAcentral.